GGUCUAGUGGUGUAGUGGUUAUCACGUCUGCUUUACACGCAGAAGGUCCCCGAUUCAAACCCGGGCUGGACCA
Molecule: non-coding RNA, 73 nt
Organism: Echinostoma caproni
Lineage: Eukaryota; Metazoa; Platyhelminthes; Trematoda; Plagiorchiida; Echinostomatidae
Source: Rfam